RNAcentral lists this ribosomal RNA (407 nucleotides) under uncultured Bifidobacterium sp. Its description in RNAcentral is "bacterial SSU rRNA". It matches the Rfam family "Bacterial small subunit ribosomal RNA", at positions 225 to 640 of the family's 1533-position model. Lineage: Bacteria; Bacillati; Actinomycetota; Actinomycetes; Bifidobacteriales; Bifidobacteriaceae. The record is from RNAcentral.
AUGGGGUCGCGUCCUAUCAGCUUGAUGGCGGGGUAACGGCCCACCAUGGCUUCGACGGGUAGCCGGCCUGAGAGGGCGACCGGCCACAUUGGGACUGAGAUACGGCCCAGACUCCUACGGGAGGCAGCAGUGGGGAAUAUUGCACAAUGGGCGCAAGCCUGAUGCAGCGACGCCGCGUGCGGGAUGACGGCCUUCGGGUUGUAAACCGCUUUUGACUGGGAGCAAGCCCUUCGGGGUGAGUGUACCUUUCGAAUAAGCACCGGCUAACUACGUGCCAGCGGCCGCGGUAAUACGUAGGGUGCAAGCGUUAUCCGGAAUUAUUGGGCGUAAAGGGCUCGUAGGCGGUUCGUCGCGUCCGGUGUGAAAGUCCAUCGCUUAACGGUGGAUCCGCGCCGGGUACGGGCGGG